UGAAAAGGAAAAAAGAAUCACAGCUCUUUCUAUUCACUCCUUCCUGCCUGUUUUCCCUAGAGGGAGUUAUCUUUUCUUUCCCAGUUUUCCUCCUUUACAAGCACGCUUUUUUUCUUUUUGGCACCAAGGGAAAAGAAAGUACAUAGGAGGAAAUGAAGGAGAAAAGGAUACGUGCAACCUUAAAAAGCAUUUAAUUUCUCUAUUGCUGCCUAAAAUCAGAAGAGAGUUUUUGAAUAGUUUGAAAAUCCUGUUUGCCAUAGCAAUACCAGCAGGGACUCUGCUUCUCAAGUACAAAGCUCCCUCCCGCAGAUGCACAUCAGGAUGUAAGGUGAACUUCAGAAGUGUGUUUUAUGGCAGGAAGAUUCUAUGGUAUAAUAAGAUGACAAAUAAGGUGUGACAACAAAAGAACAGAAAAAGAAAGAAAUCCCUCAAAAAGAAAGAGAAAAAGAAGGGAAAAAAAAAAAAGCAACAGCAAAGAAGGAAGACUCAGAUAUUCUGUCAGCAGGAACCUGAAUGCUGCAGCAGGAUGCAUGAUUGCUGAUGUCCAGAAUAUCCGAUGUGAUAUAUGACUUGAAGAGGAGCCACAUUUCUUCUGUAAAAGAAAUGAAAUAAAAGGAGUGCUGAGCAAAAGGCACCAGGAACCACCGCCCACCUCCCAGAGUGCCAUUCCUCAACUUGGGGACAGAACAACCCCAAAGAGAAACAUACUGGUGUUCCGAGCAGUAGUGACAGGACGAUCCUGAGUGAACAGAAGAUGAAUCAGUGGGUUCCAGGCCAGUCUCUAAUACACAAGAUCCAGUUUUCCCUCAGAUGCUAAAAGGGACGCAGUUUGGGUUUGGAUAUCUGAGAAAGAGGGCAUAAAGGCAGUAAGACCUUCUGUGGGUAAGGUCUCACCUACAUCUUCCAGCCUUGAGCAGUUCAGUGCCUCUCAAGAGUUUUCUCCUGUUCCUCACUCUUGAGGGUCAUCUUAGCACACAGCUGACCCCUGCCUGAUGACACAUGGAGGAAGGCAGCCAGAAUGCUGGUGGUAGCCAUCCCUGGCAAUGUGUGAGGGAUGGAGAUUUUGUGCCAAGAGUGAGCAAGAAGCAAAACAUGGACUCUUUGCUCCCACCACCAAAUCUGUGAGUCCCUUUCCUCUGGGGUGCCUGUCCCAUCCAGGAUUACAUCCAUGCCUGAAUCUACUGGCUUUUUCAUUCCUCUCCUCUGUCCCUGUAAUGCCAAGUCACAGGGCUGCACUCUUCCCUUGCUGAGCAGUGCUGGUGUCAGGGAAAGAGGAGGAGGAAGCAAUGCAGGGAAGUUCAGAAGGAUCUGUGCAAUGAUUCUAUAGGGGCAGUUUGUCAUGUCAGCCCUGUGGACACCAACCUCAAUGCAUUCAAGAGCUCCCAGUGGGUGAGCAGAACCAAAGCACAUUAGUAGCAUCCAUCCAUCCUCUCCCGACAGCCAGGUCCCUGUGACCACAGAGGUAUGUUUCUGAAGUACUACAGAGGGCUUUUUGGUGUUAAAUUCUGUUUUUCUGGCAUAUUUAUUGAGACAUUGCCCCUCUAAGCUUUUUGAAACAUGGGCUGAGGUCAUUAGCACAGUUCGUAAUUUCAGCAGCGCUUGUGAACCUUCAGAUUUAGUUUGUUGUUUCAUCAGAGUCAUUUUCUUCAGCACAUCUUUUUUAAUUAUUUUUUAAUCCAUUCCCUCCCCACAUGCACAGACCUCACAGGGAUUUUCAUGCAUUUAAAUGAAAAAGCUGAACGGUUCCCUUUUCUUGUUCACAUUAUGCAGCAUUGCCCUUCUCUGUUCUUAUCCUAUUUCAGAGCUGUCAUGCAAACAAACCCAACUUAAAAAAAAAAAAUUAAAAAUCAUUACAGAGGUAUGCAUCCUGUCAACCCUCUGUCUUGGCUACUUCUCACUGUAUGUGUAAGGAGAAAUCCCUUCUCCUGAUUGCGCUUCUCUUUCAGGUAUAUUGACUUCUUUUUAAUCUCUAAUUCAUUAUUUCUCUGGCUCCCCAAAAUGCUCUGGUCUGCUCUGGUUGCCCAAUAAACCACUACUCCCUUCCCUACCAUGCAUAGGUAGUACUUACUUUUCCAGGGCUAUGGAACUCUUGUUUUCAUUGAUAUUUUCUUCUUCAACUAAUCUAGAAGGGGAGGAUUGUUCUUUUCUGUAAAGUCUGUUCUGUGAAGCAUGCUGUGCUGCUAGGACAACCCCUUGUCUUUUUCCACAUGUGUAUGCCUUAGCAAAGUAGUCAUUGCAACUCUUUCCUCCACAAUUUAAGUAUCUGAUUGUUUUCAAUAUUAUUUCUUACUCUUGUAUAUCAUCUGAGUCAGCUUUUAAGGAAGGCUGAGCCAGAAAACUUCAACAGGCGUUAAUAUCAAUUUCAUUUAUUUAUUUAUUUGCCAAGCCAGCUCUUAUUAGAAAUCUUCACCAUGCCAAGAAGUUACUCUCUGGGAAGCCUUUUCAUGUCCCUGAUCAAAAUGUAGGGACACUGGCUUCUGCAAGGUAAGCAGUAUGAGCUCCUGUGUGAUUUUCACAAUGGCAAUGGAAAAAAACCUUACCUUUAGCAGAGUCCAAACACAGAAGAUGCAUCCAGCUCUGGGAUUUCUUAGAGGGCAACCCCAGGAAGUAUCAUUUUUGCUUACUCUCAGCACAAGUACAUGGCUCUCAUUAUUGACUCUCCUGGGCAACAGCCAUAAACCAGGCUCAAACACAUAUAAAAAGGGGAAAGACAGCAGGGCUGUAAUGAUCAUGACAGCAAGUGGAAGUGUGAUGGGACAGGGCUCAAAAGAGACAACUACAAAUUGCUCCCGAGGAGGUAUAUAUCUUGUUCUUACUGCAGCUGAAGCUCUUAUUGGGAAGAUGUGGAUGUCAGCAUAGCUCUGGCAGGGAAUUUGUGCUAGCUGCAGAUGGAAAGAGUGAUAGAGCGUGGAAUAGGUAUGGAACAACAGGUCAAGGCUUUUGCCUGGUCUCUGAUAUCCCUCUGAUGGCCACGAGGCUGCCUUUUCUGAAGGAGGGUACAUUCUUGUAGCAAGAAAUGUAGUGGAAAAAUAACUAUUUUUUACUUAUUUCUCAAGCCCAUGAAGGAGCACGUAUAUGGAUAGCGGGAGACCAAGAAUUGAUAGGUAUGAAAGCAGCUCUGCCAACUCUUGUGCAGAACAUCAAACAGUGAAUUUAGACUGCACCAUCUUCCCAUCUCCCUGGAAAAACUUCCGAUGUUCUUGAUUUUAUCCACACAGGGAGGAUGAAAUGCUGUAAAUCUUAAUGAUUUGUGGGAUGGGGGAUAUUUCUCGCUUUCUAUAAAUACGUUAACCUCUUUGUCAGUGGGGAAUAAAGAUCUGCUUUGAAUUCAUGUUGCAUUUUUAAAGUUUCUUUCUAAGAUUCCUUUUUUUCCCCUUUUAUUUCCCGUCUCUUCUCAUGUAUCUCAGAAGAAACCAGCCUGCCAAACUGCUCCAGGAACCUCUUCUAAGCUCCUCUAUACUUUUCACUCAGCCCAGGUGCCAAAACGUGCGUGGCUGCAUCUUGAACAAACAAAAGCCUUUCACUGCACACCUGGCAAGUCAGCACUCCAAAAAAUAAAUACGAAGGUAUUCUGCUGAAGAACUGAGGCUCUCCUUGCCUGAAAACUAAAUGCCUUGGGACUGUGGACUAAGGCAGAUAUUUUUAGUGCCAUCAAUAUCUCCUGGAGUUGAUAUCUCCCAAGACAGAUGGUUGUUUCCCACAGAACGUUGUCAGAUGUUUGCUCAGCCAAGAUCAAUUUUGUUCCAAGUCCUUUCC
This 3756-nucleotide long non-coding RNA is filed under the name Gallus gallus (chicken). RNAcentral describes it as "lncRNA (ENSGALG00010019279.1)". Lineage: Eukaryota; Metazoa; Chordata; Aves; Galliformes; Phasianidae. The record is from RNAcentral.